Molecule: long non-coding RNA, 3169 nt
Organism: Pezoporus occidentalis (night parrot)
Lineage: Eukaryota; Metazoa; Chordata; Aves; Psittaciformes; Psittacidae
Exons: 2
Source: RefSeq, a predicted model, not a curated record
AAAAUUCAAAAAUACUACCAGAAGGCAGAGCAAGGCAGAGAUACUUACCUGAGCAGAAAAUCCUGCUGUUCUUUUUUUCCAGAGGUCAUAUUCUGCCUGAGGAUACUUGUCUGCAGCACAGUCCUGAAUGGCCAAGGCAGAGAAGUCCACCAGUGUUACUGACUCUUGCCCAUCUGGGGCUCUUCCCUGGCCACUUCACUUCCUUUGGUUUAGCCUCUUGACCGUGCUCUUGUGUUCAAGCCCUCUGAUUAUUUGUAGUGGUAUUUCUCUCUCAAGAGCUUGUAUAUAUUAUUGUGCCCUUUGCAAACAGCUCUUUCCAUCCUCUGAUUUCCUUUCUUGAUUCCAGGGCCUGUUAAAUUGCUGUGAUCGUCUGUUGGGGUGGUUAUAUGUUUCAAUUAUAUCAGGAAUAUUUGCUGGUGUAUAGAAAUAUUCAUGGUAUAAUUAGGACAAAAAAAUUUAAUCCCCACAAGGAUUUUUACAACCAUUGAAACUCCCCAGGACUUAAUCACAAGAGUUGGGGAGCAAACUUGGGUAAAUUGAUGAACUGUUUAUUGUCAACCCUUUAUGCCUCUUGGAAAACAAACUGCACAAAUCAGGGUGAUUAUUGUUACUUGUUAGUUUAUUGUGGUAGCUUCUGGACAUUGCAGCUCAGAUCAGGGCACCAUUGUGUUAGGCGCUCUGCACCCCCGCAGCGAGAGCCAGGCUCUGCUUGGAAAUGUUUCGGGGCUGAACAGACCAGAUGGGCAGAGGGUGGGAAGGAGAAAUCUUUGCUCCUGUGAGAACAUGUACUGUAGUCUGUGUGGCCCAUGUCUUGGGGUGUGCUCCCCAGCCCCGUUCCCAGCCCAGAGACCUAUCUGCAAGGUGAGAAAAUGCCCUGGUUUUGUAUCACAUCUGUUUACAUGCUGUAUUUAUCCCUGAUGAUGUUUUUAGGCCAAAUCUUGCCCUUUUUUCUCCUGCUUUCCCGCCUGGUUGCUGUCAUAGCAGGGAAUAUGGUACUCCUGGGACAAAGCCUUGUGUUGGUGGGGUGGGCAGAGGGCACAGAAGGAGAAAGUGAUGAAUGGAGCCUUGGGGUAGGCAAGAGUCUUUAUUCUUGUGUGCUUAAUCAAGGUGAGCGAAGAUGUUUCAGUUUUCGCUUAGCUUCAUGUUCAAAGCAUAGGCAGUGGGCUAGGAGCAGGUUGAGAUGAGCAUCAGGUGGGAGGAGGGCCAGGUGGUCUUACAGGAGCCCCCACAAGGACCCAGCUCAUAGGGAUGCCGCUGAUGUCUCUGUGUGGCACCUGGAUACCGACACCCCUGCAGGCCUCUCACCCUGGCCCCAGGCGGGUCCAGCAACAGCUGCCAUUUCCUAAAAGAUGGGUUUUGGCACUGCAUAUGCAAUUUUGCAGGCAUACUGUGGGCUACUUCUGGGAAUCCACAUGGUCUCUUAGGUAAGUAAAAAUCUCUACAGCCUGCCCUCGAUGUUUGAGCCUCCAAAAUGCUAUGUGCAAAUAUGUGGAUGACCUAAAAUGCGGAUUUUUAUGCAGUAAGAAGAGUUGCAUGCUCAAAACAGUAAAUUUAGAUAUAUUAGGAUAUUUAUUAACCACACGGGGUGUUCCAAGCUCAGUUUAUUUAUCUUUGUAAAGUGCUUCCAGAUCUUUGCAUGGAAGGCACUAGAAAAAUGAAAGGCUUAUUAUUAUUAUUAUUAUUGUUAUUAUUGUUGUUGUUAUUAUUAUUACAGCAUCUAACUACUGACAGGCAACCACAGCUGCAUGCUCAAUUCAAGCCACUUAAAUUUAGGGGCUGAUUUUUACACUAUUGACUCUUAAUACUUUUUCCCAUUGACUCCAUAUGCAGAAAUGUGUGUUCACCUGCCCCGCUGAAGUAUCAUUAUUCUCCAGAAAUAUGUAAAUGGAGUGCUUUUAAAGAAAGGAAGAAAAUGUGGCAUAAAUAUUAAGUGUUCACAUUUAUAUGGUAAAACUCAACUGCCAUUUAAGAAGGGCUUCAAAGCAGCCAACUGUAUGAGCUGGUAGUUGUUUCUCUAUCAUUAAAAGAGAAAAUGCAUUGAUUAAAAUAAAACCAAGGAAUCUUGUAGACAAAGAAUAACAUUUACGGUGUUCUGGGGUCUGAGAUGAGCUACGAGCAGCCCAGGAAAUGGAGCCCUGAGUUUCACAGUCAAGCGGUUUCACCAGCACGGUUGUGCACAGCCGCGUGUGGGUUAUGUAAUCUCACACUUCACCCACCCACACCUAAAGACAACGGGCACCUUCGAAAGGUCUUGGCAUUAUUCAGAGGGAAGGCUCCCAGCAAUACCCCUGCACGGUGUUUAACCUUAUCUCUACUUACCUUUAGGAGUUCCUUUCUCUUUUCUUUCCUCUCCUUCCUUCCUUCUACUUCUUUUUUUUUUUUUUUCCUCCUUUUCUUUCCUGUGGUACAUCAAUAGUGAUAUUUUUGUGUCUCCAAAAAUGGAGCAGAUAUAGGGAGAAAAAUCCCAUUAGCACCAUGAUGUGUUUUCACGGCAGCUCUGAAGGUUCCGGUCAUGGCCGUUUUGUGCAUUUUGUAGCAUUGUCCUCAUGCUGUUAUUUUUUUUUUUUUUUCUUUCUUUCUUUCUUUUUUUUCCCUAAGUAGAGUUGAAAUGUUACAUUCUCAAAACACCAGCUAAGUAUUAAAUAAUACCUAGCCUAUGCUUUCUUUAGGUUUUAAAAUAGAAAAUAAUUAACCAGUGGUUUUAAAGAUCUCCAGAACAGUCAAACAGGCCUAUGAAACCCCAGGAUCUAAUAACAAAAACUGGAUUCUAGUUCAUUACCCUGCAGUAAAGCCAAACAGUCAUCAAUCGCGCUCAUUACAGCCGCUGGCGUUUUGAUUGGCUGCCUGCUGCUGGUAGCCCGCGUCCCCCAUCCUCCCGCUCUCCUCCAUGAGCUGUCGUGUACCUGCCAACAACAACAACAAAAAAAAAAUAUCAACAAUGCAAGAAUAAAUUUCUCCGGUUGAAAAACAACUUUGCAAACUUGUCAAAGAGUCCUUGUCACUUUUUUUUAAAUUUUUUUUGGUUUUACACCAGAAAAAAUAAAUAAAAAAAAAUUAGAAGGGAGAAACUUGAGCUUUAGAGAUGAAUAUUUGUCAAGAGAGUUGACGUAAGUUUCAUUUGCAUAAUGACUUUGUACUUCUGCAUUAAUAAAAUUUGCAUAUGAAGCCA